RNAcentral lists this ribosomal RNA (616 nucleotides) under Cladosporium sphaerospermum. RNAcentral's name for it is "eukaryotic LSU rRNA". It matches the Rfam family "Eukaryotic large subunit ribosomal RNA", at positions 1 to 636 of the family's 3401-position model. The record is from RNAcentral. Lineage: Eukaryota; Fungi; Ascomycota; Dothideomycetes; Cladosporiales; Cladosporiaceae.
UUGACCUCGGAUCAGGUAGGGAUACCCGCUGAACUUAAGCAUAUCAAUAAGCGGAGGAAAAGAAACCAACAGGGAUUGCUCUAGUAACGGCGAGUGAAGCAGCAAUAGCUCAAAUUUGAAAUCUGGCGUCUUCGGCGUCCGAGUUGUAAUUUGUAGAGGAUGCUUCUGGGCAGCCACCGACCUAAGUUCCUUGGAACAGGACGUCAUAGAGGGUGAGAAUCCCGUAUGCGGUCGGAAAGGCACCCUACACGUAGCUCCUUCGACGAGUCGAGUUGUUUGGGAAUGCAGCUCUAAAUGGGAGGUAAAUUUCUUCUAAAGCUAAAUAUUGGCCAGAGACCGAUAGCGCACAAGUAGAGUGAUCGAAAGAUGAAAAGCACUUUGGAAAGAGAGUUAAAAAGCACGUGAAAUUGUUGAAAGGGAAGGGAUUGCAACCAGACUUGCUCGCGGUGUUCCGCCGGUCUUCUGACCGGUCUACUCGCCGCGUUGCAGGCCAGCAUCGUCUGGUGCCGCUGGAUAAGACUUGAGGAAUGUAGCUCCCUCGGGAGUGUUAUAGCCUCUUGUGAUGCAGCGAGCGCCGGGCGAGGUCCGCGCUUCGGCUAGGAUGCUGCCGUAAAUC